CCUACGGGAGGCAGCAGUAGGGAAUAUUGCUCAAUGGGGGAAACCCUGAAGCAGCAACGCCGCGUGGAGGAUGAAGGUUUUCGGAUUGUAAACUCCUUUUGUUAGAGAAGAUAAUGACGGUAUCUAACGAAUAAGCACCGGCUAACUCCGUGCCAGCAGCCGCGGUAAUACGGAGGAUGCAAGCGUUACUCGGAAUCACUGGGCGUAAAGAGGGCGUAGGCGGGAUAGCAAGUCAGAUGUGAAAUCCUAUGGCUUAACCAUAGAAUUGCAUUUGAAACUGUUAGUCUAGAGUAUGGGAGAGGUAGGUGGAAUUCUUGGUGUAGGGGUAAAAUCCGUAGAGAUCAAGAGGAAUACUCAUUGCGAAGGCGACCUGCUAGAACAUAACUGACGCUGAUGCGCGAAAGCGUGGGGAGCAAACAGGAUUAGAUACCCCAGUAGUC
RNAcentral lists this ribosomal RNA (440 nucleotides) under uncultured bacterium. RNAcentral's name for it is "partial 16S ribosomal RNA". It matches the Rfam family "Bacterial small subunit ribosomal RNA", at positions 338 to 795 of the family's 1533-position model. The record is from RNAcentral.